CCAGGUUUCCAGCAGAAGCUCCAGCACACCCCAGACCUCCAUACACACCACCGAGAGGCUGUCACAUGGAGCCUCUGGUCUGAGGUUUCCUACAGGAGGGGGGAGUUGUCACAUCCAGAAAGACAACAGUGCUGUUUGCCUUGCGACUGUUUACAAAGGACAGAUCAUGCCCGACACAUACACGGUGCCGCUGACAGGCUUAGGAGAGAGGCAGAGUAGACAGGAGCAGCCCAAGGACACUGUGUGUUUGGAUGGUCAAUGACACAUUUGAUGCCUAUCAGGAAAUUGUACUUGUAAAUUCAUUCAAACUGACUAAGGGGCUUCCCUGAACUAAAAAUAUAAAAUUGUAAAAAGAGUGAAGAGGAAUAAUAGAGAGCAAAGCCUGAAACUUGGCUGGAGGGCAUGAGAUAUCAGAUGGGCCCUGAGGAGUUGGAAUAGCUCAGUAAGUUGAGUUUUUGGCAGAGAAGGAAAAAUAAAUAGCCUCCACUGGUGAUGAG
Molecule: long non-coding RNA, 497 nt
Filed under: Fukomys damarensis (Damara mole-rat)
Lineage: Eukaryota; Metazoa; Chordata; Mammalia; Rodentia; Bathyergidae
Description: lncRNA (ENSFDAG00000033173.1)
Source: RNAcentral